CUAAGAAUCUUGCGCAAUGGGCGAAAGCCUGACGCAGCAAUUCCGCGUGGGGGACGAAGGCCCUCGGGUCGUAAACCCCUUUUGCGAGGGAAGAAGUUCUGACGGUACCUCGCGAAUAAGACACGGCUAACUACGUGCCAGCAGCCGCGGUAAUACGUAGGUGUCGAGCGUUGUCCGGAUUUAUUGGGCGUAAAGAGCCCGCAGGCGGCUUGCCAAGUUCGAGGUGAAAUCUCCCGGCUCAACCGGGAGGGUGCCUCGAAAACUGGCAGGCUUGAGGCAGGGCGAGGGAUGUGGAAUUCCCGGUGUAGUGGUGAAAUGCGUAGAUAUCGGGAGGAACACCAGUGGCGAAGGCGGCAUCCUGGCCCUGUCCUGACGCUCAGGGGCGAAAGCGUGGGGAGCAA
Molecule: ribosomal RNA, 401 nt
Filed under: uncultured bacterium
Lineage: Bacteria
Description: bacterial SSU rRNA
Rfam family: Bacterial small subunit ribosomal RNA
Source: RNAcentral